UUUCCGUAGGUGAACCUGCGGAAGGAUCAUUACUGAGUGUGGGCCCUCUGGGUCCAACCUCCCACCCGUGUUUAUUAUACCUUGUUGCUUCGGUGAGCCCGCCUCACGGCCGCCGGGGGGCAUCUGCCCCCGGGCCCGCGCCCACCGAAGACACCUAGAACUCUGUAUGAAGAUUGCCGUCUGAGCAAAAACUAAAUAAGUUAAAACUUUCAACAACGGAUCUCUUGGUUCCG
Molecule: unclassified non-coding RNA, 233 nt
Filed under: plant metagenome
Description: partial contains small subunit ribosomal RNA, internal transcribed spacer 1, and 5.8S ribosomal RNA
Source: RNAcentral